CGGGUAGUCGCUGUCGCGGUCAUCACGAUCGGCGGCAGAGGAAAGUCCAGGCUCGCCCAGGCUGAGAUGCCUGGAGUGUUCGUACCUAGUGCAAACUAGGGCAGCGAGACAGCGAUCUCGCUGACGGCGCGAAAAGGGUUCUCACGUAGACCCGAGUACGCUGAAAGUGCCACAGAAACGCAGCUUCCCUGGCGACAGGGAGGAUGGAACGAGGUAAACCCUGCGAGCGAGAAACCCAAAUUUUGGUAGGGGAACUGUCCCGAAGGAAAUGAACGGACGGACAGAUGGCAGUUCGAGCUGCCAUAGAUAGAUGACUACCGCUUCUUGUGCGAGGGGAGACCCGUUUGCAGCACAGAAGAGACAGAACCUGGCUUACAG
RNAcentral lists this RNase P RNA (378 nucleotides) under Brevibacillus massiliensis. RNAcentral's name for it is "Bacterial RNase P class B". It matches the Rfam family "Bacterial RNase P class B". Rfam says of the family: Ribonuclease P (RNase P) is a ubiquitous endoribonuclease, found in archaea, bacteria and eukarya as well as chloroplasts and mitochondria. The record is from RNAcentral. Lineage: Bacteria; Bacillati; Bacillota; Bacilli; Caryophanales; Paenibacillaceae.